CAGUCGCCGCGGGAAUACGAAGGGUGCAAGCGUUAAUCGGAGUUACUGGGCGUAAAGCGUGCGUAGGCGGUGAGUUAAGUCUGCUGUGAAAUCCCCGGGCUCAACCUGGGAAUGGCAGUGGAUACUGGCUCGCUAGAGUGUGUCAGAGGAUGGUGGAAUUCCCGGUGUAGCGGUGAAAUGCGUAGAGAUCGGGAGGAACAUCAGUGGCGAAGGCGGCCAUCUGGGACAACACUGACGCUGAGGCACGAAAGCGUGGGGAGCAAACAGGAUUAGAUACCCCCGUAGUCCCUGUCUCUUAUAC
RNAcentral lists this ribosomal RNA (301 nucleotides) under uncultured bacterium. Its description in RNAcentral is "partial 16S ribosomal RNA". It matches the Rfam family "Bacterial small subunit ribosomal RNA", at positions 509 to 807 of the family's 1533-position model. The record is from RNAcentral.